UGGGGAAUUUUGGACAAUGGGCGAAAGCCUGAUCCAGCAAUGCCGCGUGUGUGAAGAAGGCCUUCGGGUUGUAAAGCACUUUUGUCCGGAAAGAAAUCCUUGGCUCUAAUACAGUCGGGGGAUGACGGUACCGGAAGAAUAAGCACCGGCUAACUACGUGCCAGCAGCCGCGGUAAUACGUAGGGUGCAAGCGUUAAUCGGAAUUACUGGGCGUAAAGCGUGCGCAGGCGGUUUGCUAAGACCGAUGUGAAAUCCCCGGGCUCAACCUGGGAACUGCAUUGGUGACUGGCAGGCUAGAGUAUGGCAGGAGGGGGGUAGAAUUCCACGUGUAGCAGUGAAAUGCGUAGAGAUGUGGAGGAAUACCGAUGGCGAAGGCAGCCCCCUGGGCCAAUACUGACGCUCAUGCACGAAAGCGUGGGGAGCAAACAGGAUUAGAUACCCUGGUAGUCCACGCCCUAAACGAUGUCAACUAGUUGUUGGGGAUUCAUUUCCUUAGUAACGUAGCUAACGCGUGAAGUUGACCGCCUGGGGAGUACGGUCGCAAGAUUAAAACUUAAAGGAAUUGACGGGGUCAUAGCUGUUUCCU
Molecule: ribosomal RNA, 586 nt
Filed under: uncultured bacterium
Lineage: Bacteria
Description: partial 16S ribosomal RNA
Rfam family: Bacterial small subunit ribosomal RNA
Source: RNAcentral